UACGUAGGUGGCAAGCGUUGUCCGGAAUUAUUGGGCGUAAAGCGCGCGCAGGUGGUUCUUUAAGUCUGAUGUGAAAGCCCCCGGCUCAACCGGGGAGGGUCAUUGGAAACUGGGGAACUUGAGGGCAGGAUAGGAAAGGGGAAUUCCAUGUGUAGCGUUGAAAUGCGUAGAUAAGUGGAGGAACACCAGUGGCGAGGGCGACUUUAUGGCCUGUAACUGACACUGAGGCGCGAAAGCGUGGGGAGCAAACAGG
RNAcentral lists this unclassified non-coding RNA (253 nucleotides) under uncultured Caryophanaceae bacterium. RNAcentral describes it as "uncultured Planococcaceae bacterium contains 16S-23S intergenic spacer region". It matches the Rfam family "Bacterial small subunit ribosomal RNA", at positions 524 to 776 of the family's 1533-position model. The record is from RNAcentral. Lineage: Bacteria; Bacillati; Bacillota; Bacilli; Caryophanales; Caryophanaceae.